This is a non-coding RNA of Fukomys damarensis (Damara mole-rat), 46 nucleotides long. The record is from Rfam. Lineage: Eukaryota; Metazoa; Chordata; Mammalia; Rodentia; Bathyergidae.
CAAAAGGCCCUUUUCAGAGCCCCACCAUUGUCAAUAAAAAAGCUGU